AUGGCUUGGUGGAAAUUAUGUGUGCCGAAGAGCAAAGGAGGUAUGGGAUUUAGUGAUCAUUGUUUUAAAUUGGCAUUACUAGCUAAGCAAGUUUGGAGGUUAAUUGAGAACCCAUACUCAUUAUGUGUGCCAGUUCUUAAGGCCAAAUAUUCCCCACUUGAUGACUUGCUUAAUGCCACAUUAAAGAAAGGUGCUUCUUUUACAUGGCAGAGUAUAAUGGCAAGUGGAACACACUUAAAUAUGGAUGCAUUUGGAGAGUUGAGAAUGGACAGAAAAUAA
Molecule: ribosomal RNA, 279 nt
Filed under: Triticum aestivum (bread wheat)
Lineage: Eukaryota; Viridiplantae; Streptophyta; Magnoliopsida; Poales; Poaceae
Description: partial small subunit ribosomal RNA
Source: RNAcentral